AAGAUUAAUACCGCAUAAUAUGUUUUUAUCGCAUGGUAGAAACAUCAAAGGAGCAAUCCACUAUAAGAUGGACCCGCGGCGCAUUAGCUAGUUGGUGAGGUAAUGGCCCACCAAGGCGACGAUGCGUAGCCGACCUGAGAGGGUGAUCGGCCACAUUGGAACUGAGACACGGUCCAGACUCCUACGGGAGGCAGCAGUGGGGAAUAUUGCGCAAUGGGGGAAACCCUGACGCAGCAACGCCGCGUGAAUGAAGAAGGCCUUAGGGUUGUAAAGUUCUGUUUUCUGGGACGAUAAUGACGGUACCAGAGGAGGAAGCCACGGCUAACUACGUGCCAGCAGCCGCGGUAAUACGUAGGUGGCAAGCGUUGUCCGGAUUUACUGGGCGUAAAGGAUGCGUAGGCGGAUGUUUAAGUGAGAUGUGAAAUACCCGGGCUCAACUUGGGUGCUGCAUUUCAAACUGGAUAUCUAGAGUGCAGGAGAGGAAAGCGGAAUUCCUAGUGUAGCGGUGAAAUGCGUAGAGAUUAGGAAGAACACCAGUGGCGAAGGCGGCUUUCUGGACUGUAACUGACGCUGAGGCAUGAAAGCGUGGGGAGCAAACAGGAUUAGAUACCCUGGUAGUCCACGCCGUAAACGAUGAGUACUAGGUGUAGGAGGUAUCG
Molecule: ribosomal RNA, 659 nt
Filed under: uncultured bacterium
Lineage: Bacteria
Description: bacterial SSU rRNA
Rfam family: Bacterial small subunit ribosomal RNA
Source: RNAcentral